UUGACCUCGGAUCAGGUAGGGAUACCCGCUGAACUUAAGCAUAUCAAUAAGCGGAGGAAAAGAAACCAACCGGGAUUGCCUCAGUAACGGCGAGUGAAGCGGCAAGAGCUCAAAUUUGAAAGCUGGCUCCUUCGGAGUCCGCAUUGUAAUUUGCAGAGGAUGCUUUGGGUGCGGCCCCCGUCUAAGUGCCCUGGAACGGGCCGUCAGAGAGGGUGAGAAUCCCGUCUUGGGCGGGGUGUCCGUGCCCGUGUAAAGCUCCUUCGACGAGUCGAGUUGUUUGGGAAUGCAGCUCUAAAUGGGUGGUAAAUUUCAUCUAAAGCUAAAUACUGGCCGGAGACCGAUAGCGCACAAGUAGAGUGAUCGAAAGAUGAAAAGCACUUUGAAAAGAGAGUUAAACAGCACGUGAAAUUGUUGAAAGGGAAGCGCUUGCAACCAGACUCGCCCGCGGGGUUCAGCCGGCAUUCGUGCCGGUGUACUUCCCCGUGGGCGGGCCAGCGUCGGUUUGGGCGGCCGGUCAAAGGCCCCUGGAAUGUAGUGCCCUCCGGGGCACCUUAUAGCCAGGGGUGCAAUGCGGCCAGCCUAGACCGAGGAACGCGCUUCGGCUCGGACGCUGGCAUAAUGGUUGUAAACGACCCGUCU
This 639-nucleotide ribosomal RNA is filed under the name Aspergillus carbonarius. RNAcentral describes it as "eukaryotic LSU rRNA". It matches the Rfam family "Eukaryotic large subunit ribosomal RNA", at positions 1 to 654 of the family's 3401-position model. The record is from RNAcentral. Lineage: Eukaryota; Fungi; Ascomycota; Eurotiomycetes; Eurotiales; Aspergillaceae.